AACGAACGCUGGCGGCAGGCUUAACACAUGCAAGUCGAACGCCCCGCAAGGGGAGUGGCAGACGGGUGAGUAACACGUGGGAACAUGCCCAAAGGUACGAAAUAUUCUCGGGAAACUGAGAGCAAUACCGUAUGUGCCCGAAAGGGGAAAGAUUUAUCGCCUUUGGAUUGGCCCGCGUCGGAUUAGCUAGUUGGUGGGGUAAAAGCCUACCAAGGCGACGAUCCGUAGCUGGUCUGAGAGGACGACCAGCCACACUGGGACUGAGACACGGCCCAGACUCCUACGGGAGGCAGCAGUGGGGAAUCUUGGACAAUGGGCGCAAGCCUGAUCCAGCCAUGCCGCGUGGAUGAUGAAGGCCCUAGGGUUGUAAAAUCCUUUCGUUGGGGACGAUAAUGACGGUACCCAAAGAAGAAGCUCCGGCUAACUUCGUG
RNAcentral lists this ribosomal RNA (431 nucleotides) under uncultured bacterium. RNAcentral describes it as "partial 16S ribosomal RNA". It matches the Rfam family "Bacterial small subunit ribosomal RNA", at positions 29 to 507 of the family's 1533-position model. The record is from RNAcentral.